AAUCAACGCUGGCGGCGCGCUUAACACAUGCAAGUCGCACGAGAAAGGGGGCAACCCUGAGUAAAGUGGCGUACGGGUGAGUAACACGUGGAUCAUCUACCUUCUAGUGGGGAAUACCUCUGGGAAACCGGAGACAAUACCGCAUAAGCCCGUGAGGGGAAAGCAGCAAUGCGCUGGAAGAGGAGUCCGCGGCUGAUUAGCUAGUUGGUGAGGUAAUGGCUCACCAAGGCGAAGAUCGGUAGCCGGCCUGAGAGGGCACACGGCCACACUGGCACUG
RNAcentral lists this ribosomal RNA (277 nucleotides) under uncultured bacterium. RNAcentral describes it as "partial 16S ribosomal RNA". It matches the Rfam family "Bacterial small subunit ribosomal RNA", at positions 32 to 321 of the family's 1533-position model. The record is from RNAcentral.